GCCUUCGUGGUGUAAAGGUCAGCAUGUACGACGCGUAACCGAGAGGUCCGUGGUUCGAUUCCCGGCGAAGGCG
Non-coding RNA from Stegodyphus mimosarum, 73 nucleotides. The record is from Rfam. Lineage: Eukaryota; Metazoa; Arthropoda; Arachnida; Araneae; Eresidae.